RNAcentral lists this ribosomal RNA (605 nucleotides) under uncultured bacterium. RNAcentral's name for it is "bacterial SSU rRNA". It matches the Rfam family "Bacterial small subunit ribosomal RNA", at positions 54 to 653 of the family's 1533-position model. The record is from RNAcentral.
CAUGCAGUCGAGGGGCAGCAUGGGUCUAGCAAUAGACUGAUGGCGACCGGCGCACGGGUGAGUAACACGUAUCCAACCUACCGGCUAUUCCGGGAUAGCCUUUCGAAAGAAAGAUUAAUACCGGAUAGUAUAGCGAGAAGGCAUCUUCUUGCUAUUAAAGAAUUUCGAUAACCGAUGGGGAUGCGUUCCAUUAGUUUGUUGGCGGGGUAACGGCCCACCAAGACAUCGAUGGAUAGGGGUUCUGAGAGGAAGGUCCCCCACAUUGGAACUGAGACACGGUCCAAACUCCUACGGGAGGCAGCAGUGAGGAAUAUUGGUCAAUGGACGAGAGUCUGAACCAGCCAAGUAGCGUGAAGGAUGACUGCCCUAUGGGUUGUAAACUUCUUUUAUAUGGGAAUAAAGUGAGCCACGUGUGGCUUUUUGUAUGUACCAUACGAAUAAGGAUCGGCUAACUCCGUGCCAGCAGCCGCGGUAAUACGGAGGAUCCGAGCGUUAUCCGGAUUUAUUGGGUUUAAAGGGAGCGUAGGCGGACUAUUAAGUCAGCUGUGAAAGUUUGCGGCUCAACCGUAAAAUUGCAGUUGAUACUGGUCGUCUUGAGUGCAGUA